Molecule: ribosomal RNA, 253 nt
Filed under: uncultured bacterium
Lineage: Bacteria
Description: partial 16S ribosomal RNA
Rfam family: Bacterial small subunit ribosomal RNA
Source: RNAcentral
UACGUAGGGUGCAAGCGUUGUCCGGAAUUAUUGGGCGUAAAGAGCUCGUAGGCGGUCUGUCGCGUCUGCUGUGAAAACUCGGGGCUUAACCCCGGGCCUGCAGUGGGUACGGGCAGACUAGAGUGCGGUAGGGGAGACUGGAAUUCCUGGUGUAGCGGUGAAAUGCGCAGAUAACAGGAGGAACACCGGUGGCGAAGGCGGGUCUCUGGGCCGUAACUGACGCUGAGGAGCGAAAGCAUGGGGAGCGAACAGG